This 253-nucleotide ribosomal RNA is filed under the name uncultured bacterium. RNAcentral's name for it is "partial 16S ribosomal RNA". It matches the Rfam family "Bacterial small subunit ribosomal RNA", at positions 524 to 776 of the family's 1533-position model. The record is from RNAcentral.
UACGUAGGGUGCGAGCGUUGUCCGGAAUUACUGGGCGUAAAGAGCUCGUAGGCGGUUUGUCGCGUCUGCUGUGAAAUCUGGAGGCUCAACCUCCAGCCUGCAGUGGGUACGGGCAGACUAGAGUGCGGUAGGGGAGAUUGGAACUCCUGGUGUAGCGGUGGAAUGCGCAGAUAUCAGGAAGAACACCGAUGGCGAAGGCAGAUCUCUGGGCCGUAACUGACGCUGAGGAGCGAAAGCAUGGGGAGCGAACAGG